Molecule: ribosomal RNA, 255 nt
Filed under: uncultured bacterium
Lineage: Bacteria
Description: partial 16S ribosomal RNA
Rfam family: Bacterial small subunit ribosomal RNA
Source: RNAcentral
UACAGAGGUCCCAAGCGUUUGUUCGGAUUCACUGGGCGUAAAGGGUGCGUAGGUGGUGAGGUAAGUCGGAUGUGAAAUCUCCGGGCUCAACCCGGAAAUGGCAUUGGAAACUACCUUGCUGGAGGAUUUGAGGGGGGAUUGGAAUACUUGGUGUAGCAGUGAAAUGCGUAGAUAUCAAGUGGAACACCAGUGGCGAAGGCGAAAUCCCUGGAAAAUACCUGACACUGAGGCACGAAAGCUAGGGGAGCAAACAGG